Molecule: non-coding RNA, 93 nt
Organism: Stygiomarasmius scandens
Lineage: Eukaryota; Fungi; Basidiomycota; Agaricomycetes; Agaricales; Campanellaceae
Source: the annotation of a GenBank genome assembly
CCGACCUUAGCCCAGAUGGAAAAGCAUGAGACUGUAAGUGGUUGGAUUGAACUUGUCAUCUUGAGGUCGCCUGUUCGAGCCAGGCAGGUUGGA